RNAcentral lists this unclassified non-coding RNA (200 nucleotides) under Phialophora sp. Its description in RNAcentral is "partial internal transcribed spacer 2". Lineage: Eukaryota; Fungi; Ascomycota; Eurotiomycetes; Chaetothyriales; Herpotrichiellaceae. The record is from RNAcentral.
UUAAGUUCAGCGCGUAUUCCUACCUGAUCCGAGGUCAACCUUGAAGAAAUUUCCUGGUUGAAGGAGAAGGACCGUGUCCUGGGCGCCCUUGUCCGAUACGUGCUCAGUUAAAAGCUCAGUGUACCGGGGGAUCCGCAGGCCGCCGUCAUUGUCUUUAGGAGGGGUCGUGGUUACACGACCAAAAACCGUCCAACACCAAG